GACGAACGCUGGCGGCGUGCUUAACACAUGCAAGUCGAACGGAAAGGCCCUGCUUUUGUGGGGUGCUCGAGUGGCGAACGGGUGAGUAACACGUGAGUAACCUGCCCUUGACUUUGGGAUAACUUCAGGAAACUGGGGCUAAUACCGGAUAGGAGCUCCUGCUGCAUGGCGGGGGUUGGAAAGUUUCGGCGGUUGGGGAUGGACUCGCGGCUUAUCAGCUUGUUGGUGGGGUAGUGGCUUACCAAGGCUUUGACGGGUAGCCGGCCUGAGAGGGUGACCGGCCACCUUGGGACUGAGGUACGGCCCAGACUCCUACGGGAGGCAGCGGGGGGGAAUAUUGCACAAUGGGCGGAAGCCUGAUGCAGCAACGCCGCGUGCGGGAUGACGGCCUUCGGGUUGUAAACCGCUUUCGCCUGUGACGAAGCGUGAGUGACGGUAAUGGGUAAAGAAGCACCGGCUAACUACGUG
This 468-nucleotide ribosomal RNA is filed under the name uncultured bacterium. RNAcentral describes it as "partial 16S ribosomal RNA". It matches the Rfam family "Bacterial small subunit ribosomal RNA", at positions 28 to 507 of the family's 1533-position model. The record is from RNAcentral.